This 443-nucleotide ribosomal RNA is filed under the name uncultured bacterium. RNAcentral describes it as "bacterial SSU rRNA". It matches the Rfam family "Bacterial small subunit ribosomal RNA", at positions 340 to 773 of the family's 1533-position model. The record is from RNAcentral.
UACGGAAGGCAGCAGUGGGGAAUAUUGGACAAUGGGCGCAAGCCUGAUCCAGCCAUGCCGCGUGUGUGAAGAAGGCCUUCGGGUUGUAAAGCACUUUUGUCCGGAAAGAAAAGCUUAGGGUUAAUAACCUUGAGUCAUGACGGUACCGGAAGAAUAAGCACCGGCUAACUUCGUGCCAGCAGCCGCGGUAAUACGAAGGGUGCAAGCGUUACUCGGAAUUACUGGGCGUAAAGCGUGCGUAGGUGGUUUGUUAAGUCUGAUGUGAAAGCCCUGGGCUCAACCUGGGAAUGGCAUUGGAAACUGGCUUACUAGAGUGCGGUAGAGGGGGUGUGGAAUUCCCGGUGUAGCAGUGAAAUGCGUAGAUAUCGGGAGGAACAUCUGUGGCGAAGGCGACACCCUGGACCAGCACUGACACUGAGGGCACGAAAGCGUGGGGAGCAAAC